RNAcentral lists this ribosomal RNA (243 nucleotides) under uncultured bacterium. Its description in RNAcentral is "partial 16S ribosomal RNA". It matches the Rfam family "Bacterial small subunit ribosomal RNA", at positions 100 to 334 of the family's 1533-position model. The record is from RNAcentral.
CGGGACGGGUGGAGUAAGUGUCGUAGGGAAACGUACGCCGUGAGUGGGAGGGGAAUAACUACUAGGAACGGUAGCUAAUACCGCAUAACGUCGCAAGACCAAAGAGGGGACCGUUCGGGCCUCUUGCCGUCGGAUGUGCCCAGAUGGGAUUAGCUAGUAGGUGGGGUAACGGCUCACCUAGGCGACGAUCCCUAGCUGGUCUGAGAGGAUGACCAGCCACACUGGAACUGAGACACGGUCCAG